UUUGCAUCCGACGAUAUUUAUUGCUGAUAUUGUAAUACCUUCAAUCAACUAAUAAUGAAUAAAUUAAAAUAUAGUUAAACCAACAUAACUCUGUCAGACGAAAUAAAUACGUUGAAAAUUGUCUAUCCCUAAUAACUUUAAUCCUCUCCCGUGCCAGUAUUCCUGCGCAUAGCAGGUUAGCCGAAAGGUGGAAUUCGUUUGCCAGUUGCAUCAAACGUAAAUCAACGCUACCCAUUAAACACGAGUUAGUAGAUAAUAGACUCUCACCUAGUUCAAACCCCACGACAGACAGGGUACAAGGUUUGUUUUCCUACAGGCAAGAAAGUGCUUACAGAGGCACUUCCAGUCUGGGAAUUCAAAAGACACAACAGACAAGGGUACAAGGUUUGUUUUCCUACAGGCAAGAAAGUGCUUACAGAGGCACUUCCAGACUGGGAAUCCAAAAGACACGAUAGACAAACAAUACCCAUCAUACACUAACACUCCCAACUUAAAGAAAAUAAUAAUAAUGAAAGGAAAUUCUUUGACAUAGUCCGUAGACUAUUUUUGGUGGCAGCAACUACCAUAUUAAUCGGACAUCUCGAUUAAUAUUUCAUAAACAAUCAUACCAUUUCAAUUUUCCCCUUCCGAUUAAACUUAAGAUAACACAACAAAAAAAAUUUUAUCUGGAUUUAGUCCAGACUAACACGGAAGGCAUAACACGAUCGAAUCGAACAUAACAGAACGUAACA
This 731-nucleotide unclassified non-coding RNA is filed under the name Bombus terrestris (buff-tailed bumblebee). RNAcentral's name for it is "misc RNA ENSBTSG00005028123.1". The record is from RNAcentral. Lineage: Eukaryota; Metazoa; Arthropoda; Insecta; Hymenoptera; Apidae.